GAGUUUGAUCAUGGCUCAGAUUGAACGCUGGCGGCAUGCCUUACACAUGCAAGUCGAACGGUAACGGGCCUUCGGGUGCCGACGAGUGGCGAACGGGUGAGUAAUGUAUCGGAACGUACCUUUCAGUGGGGAUAACGUAGCGAAAGUUACGCUAAUACCGCAUAUUCUGUGAGCAGGAAAGCAGGGGAUCGCAAGACCUUGCGCUGAUUGAGCGGCCGAUAUCAGAUUAGCUAGUUGGUGAGGUAAAGGCUCACCAAGGCGACGAUCUGUAGCGGGGUCUGAGAGGAUGAUCCGCCACACUGGAACUGAGACACGGUCCAGACUCCUACGGGAGGCAGCAGUGGGGAAUUCUGGACAAUGGGGCAACCCUGAUCCAGCCAUGCCGCGUGAGUGAAGAAGGCCUUCGGGUUGUAAAGCUCUUUCGGCCGGGAAGAAAUCGUAUGGGUUAAUACCCUGUGCGGAUGACGGUACCGGCAUAAGAAGCACCGGCUAACUACGUG
Molecule: ribosomal RNA, 500 nt
Filed under: uncultured bacterium
Lineage: Bacteria
Description: bacterial SSU rRNA
Rfam family: Bacterial small subunit ribosomal RNA
Source: RNAcentral